Molecule: long non-coding RNA, 374 nt
Filed under: Brassica rapa (field mustard)
Lineage: Eukaryota; Viridiplantae; Streptophyta; Magnoliopsida; Brassicales; Brassicaceae
Description: long non-coding RNA (BRAP_LNC001007)
Source: RNAcentral
AAGGUGUGUGGUCACUCGAUGUGUGGAUGGGUGUUGUGUGGUUGGGCGAUAAGAUGUGGUCAGACGAGUUGUGAAGUGGUGGUAGAGAGAUGUAGGGGUUCCAGAGUGGGCACCGUCACUCGAUGUGUGGACGGGUGUUGUGUGGUUAGGCGAUGAGAUGUGGUCAGACGAGUUGUGAAGUGGCGUUGGAGAGAUGUAAGAGGGUUCCAGAGUGGGGUGUGGUCAGUCGAUGUGUGGACGGGUGUUCUGUGGUUGGGCGAUGAGAUAUGGUCAGACGAGUUGCGAAGUGGUGGUGGAGAGAUGCAAGGGGGGUUUUGGAGUGGGGAAUCGAGAAUGGGUGUAACAGGUGUUUUGUUCUUAUGGUGGUAUUUUUU